GCCGGGGUGGCGGAAUGGCAGACGCGGCGGACUUAAAAUCCGUUGACCGCAAGGUCGUGUGGGUUCGAGUCCCACCCUCGGUA
RNAcentral lists this transfer RNA (83 nucleotides) under Acidobacteriota bacterium. Its description in RNAcentral is "tRNA-Leu". It matches the Rfam family "tRNA". Rfam says of the family: Transfer RNA (tRNA) molecules are approximately 80 nucleotides in length. Their secondary structure includes four short double-helical elements and three loops (D, anti-codon, and T loops). The record is from RNAcentral. Lineage: Bacteria; Pseudomonadati; Acidobacteriota.